CCUACGGGUGGCAGCAGUGAGGAAUAUUGGUCAAUGGGCGCGAGCCUGAACCAGCCAAGUAGCGUGAAGGAUGACUGCCCUACGGGUUGUAACCUUCUUUUAUAAAGGAAUAAAGUGAGGCACGUGUGCCUUUUUGUAUGUACUUUAUGACUAAGGAUCGGCUAACUCCGUGCCAGCAGCCGCGGUAAUCUGGAGGAUUCGAGCGUUAUCCGGAUUUAUUGGGUUUAAAGGGAGUGCAGAUGGGUUGUUAAGUCAGUUGUGAAAGUUUGCGGCUCAACCGUAAAAUUGCAAUUGAUACUGGCAGUCUUGAGUACAGUUGAGGUAGGCGGAAUUCGUGGUGUAGCGGUGAAAUGCUUAGAUAUCACGAAGAACUCCGAUUGCGAAGGCAGCUUACUAAACUGCCACUGACAUUGAUGCUCGAAAGUGUGGGUAUCAAACAGGAUUACAUACCCCAGUAGUC
This 460-nucleotide ribosomal RNA is filed under the name uncultured bacterium. RNAcentral describes it as "partial 16S ribosomal RNA". It matches the Rfam family "Bacterial small subunit ribosomal RNA", at positions 338 to 795 of the family's 1533-position model. The record is from RNAcentral.